CCUACGGGAGGCAGCAGUGGGGGAUAUUGCACAAUGGGGGGAACCCUGAUGCAGCGACGCCGCGUGGGUGAAGAAGCGCCUCGGCGCGUAAAGCCCUGUCAGCAGGGAAGAAAAUGACGGUACCUGAAGAAGAAGCCCCGGCUAACUACGUGCCAGCCGCCGCGGUAAUACGGAGGGGGCAAGCGUUACCCGGAUGUACUGGGGGUAAGGGGGGCGCAGACGGCGAUGCAAGCCAGGAGUGAAAGCCCGGGGCCCAACCCCGGGACUGCUCUUGGAACUGCGUGGCUGGAGUGCAGGAGGGGCAGGCGGAAUUCCUGGUGUAGCGGUGAAAUGCGUAGAUAUCAGGAGGAACACCGGUGGCGAAGGCGGCCUGCUGGACUGCAACUGACGUUGAGGCCCGAAAGCGUGGGGAGCAAACAGGAUUAGAUACCCUUGUAGUC
RNAcentral lists this ribosomal RNA (440 nucleotides) under uncultured bacterium. Its description in RNAcentral is "partial 16S ribosomal RNA". It matches the Rfam family "Bacterial small subunit ribosomal RNA", at positions 338 to 795 of the family's 1533-position model. The record is from RNAcentral.